Molecule: ribosomal RNA, 497 nt
Filed under: uncultured bacterium
Lineage: Bacteria
Description: partial 16S ribosomal RNA
Rfam family: Bacterial small subunit ribosomal RNA
Source: RNAcentral
GAUGAACGCUGGCGGCGUGCCUAAUACAUGCAAGUCGAGCGAACGGACGAGAAGCUUGCUUUUCUGAUGUUAGCGGCGGACGGGUGAGUAACACGUGGAUAACCUACCUAUAAGACUGGGAUAACUUCGGGAAACCGGAGCUAAUACCGGAUAAUAUUUUGAACCGCAUGGUUCAAAAGUGAAAGACGGUCUUGCUGUCACUUAUAGAUGGAUCCGCGCUGCAUUAGCUAGUUGGUAAGGUAACGGCUUACCAAGGCAACGAUGCAUAGCCGACCUGAGAGGGUGAUCGGCCACACUGGAACUGAGACACGGUCCAGAGUCCUACGGGAGGCAGCAGUAGGGAAUCUUCCGCAAUGGGCGAAAGCCUGACGGAGCAACGCCGCGUGAGUGAUGAAGGUCUUCGGAUCGUAAAACUCUGUUAUUAGGGAAGAACAUAUGUGUAAGUAACUGUGCACAUCUUGACGGUACCUAAUCAGAAAGCCACGGCUAACUACGUG